UGGCACGGCAUCUGUGCGGCGUAUCGCGGCUUCCUCCUUUUUUUUUUCCCUGGUACAUUCUGUCAGCGUGGACCCGCUCUGUAACUGGACGCAGGCCUUCCAGGGACUACCAGAUGAAGAGGCUUUAUAUAAGACUGAGAGAGAGUCACGUGAAUAUCAGUGCUUUGGAUUGAAGUUGAAAAAUCAACUCAAAGCAAGUUACACGAGUUGGAAUUUGUAUUACAGUGGUCAAACUCAAGGCCCGGGGGCUGCAUAUGGCACAUGCACAUCGUUUUGGGUGGUCCACAAAAGUAAAUAAUGUGGACUGACUCAGUGUUGUUUUUGGCAGCUCUUUUAAUUUUCGUCUUAGUCUUUUGGACAAUAAUACAGUGAUCCAUCUAUUUAGGGGUGCUGGAGAGGAGGGUCCGUCAGGAAGUCGAAACUCGGACUCAGGAGGUGCAGUGUGGUUUUCGUCCCUGCCGUGGAACAGUGGACCAGCUCUACACCCUCGGCACGGUCCUCAAGAGUGCAUGGGAGUUCGCCUAACCAGUCUGCAUGUGUUUUGUGGACCUGGAGAAGGCAUUCGACCAUGUGCCUGGAGGAGUCCUGUGGGGGGUGCUCCGGAAGUACGGGGCACCGAGCCCCUUGGUAAGGGUUGUUCGGUCCCUGUACGACCCGUGUCAGAGUUGGGUCCGCAUUGCCGGCAAUGAUGUGGUGCUGUUGGCUUCAUAAAGCCGUGACCUCCAACUCUCACUGGAGUGGUUCGUAGCCGAGUGUGACGCGGUGGGGAUGAAGAUCAGCACCUCCAAAUACGAGACCGUGGUCCUCAGUCGGAAAAGGGUGGCGUGCCCUCUCCGGGUUGGGGAUGAGAUCCUGCCCCAAGUGGAGGAGUAUCUUGUAUCUUGGGGUCUUGUUCACGAUGAGCAUGGAGUAAAGAAAAACUCUCUGAGGAUUUGAGAAGAAAAAUUUUGAGGAAGCAUGGGCAGUCUCAAGGCUACAUGUCCUUCUCCAAAGACCUGAAUGUUCCUGUUUCUACCGUGCGCAGUGUCAUCAAUAAGUGUAAAGCCCCCGGCACUGUGGCUAACCUUCCUAGAUGUGGACAGAAAAGAAAAAUUUACAAGAGAUUUCAACGAAAGAUUGUGCGGAUGGUGAAUAAAGAAACUUGACUAAAAUCCAAACCAGUUCAAGCUGUCCCGCAGUCCGAGGGUACAACAGUGUCAACCUGUACUAUCCGUCAGCAUCUGAAUGAAAAGGGACUCUCCGGUAGGCUACCCAGGAAGACCCCGCUUUUGACCCAGAGACAUAAAAAGACAGGCUUGAUUUGCCAAAACUUACCAGAGAAAGCCAAAAAUGUUUUGGAAGAAUGUUCUCUGGUCUGAUGACACCAAAGUAGAGCUUUUUGGGAAAAGGCAUCAACAUAGAGUAUAGAAGAAAAAAACGAGGCCUUCAAAGAAAAGACCACGGUCCCCAGAGUCAAACAUGGCGGAAGUUCCCUGAUGUUUUGGGGUUGCUCUGCUGCCUCUGGCACUGGACUUCUUGACCGUGUGCAUGGCAUUAUGAAGUCUGAAGACUACCAACAAUUUCACAGCAUAAUGUAGGGCCUAGUGUGAGAAAGCUGGGUCUCCCGCAGAGGUCAUGGGUCUUCCAGCAGGAUAACGACCCAAAACACACUUCAAAAAGCACUAGAAAAUGGUUUGAGAGAAAGCAGUGGAGACAACUAAAGUGGCCAGCAAUGAGUCCAGACCUGAAUCCCAUGGAACACCUGUGGGGAGAUCUGAAAAUGGCAGUUUGAAGAAGGCACCCUUCAAAUCUCAGAGACCUGAAGCAGUUGGCCAAAGAAGAAUUGUCUAAAAUUUCAGCAGAGCAUUGUAAAAAUCUCAUUGAUGGAUACCGGAAGCGGUUGUUCGCAGUUAUUUUGUCUAAAAUUGUGCUACCGAGUAUUAGGCUGAGUUAGUAGGUUUAGUAUCAUGACAACAGUACUUGCUAUGAAGUUACAACCUGAGCACAAAUGGCUCUUCAAAAUUGACAAUGACCCAAAGCGUACCGCCAAACUGCUUCCAAAGUGGCACACGGAUAGCAAAGUUAAUGUUUUUUUGGAGUGACCAUCCUAAAGUCUUGAUCUAUAUAUAUAUAUGUACUCUACGGGAAUGGCUUCCGCCGGGCUGGCGCAUUGUGAAAAAGAGCCUGUACGUUGUCUGGAUGGCGGCCAGCUGACAUUCCGCAGAGACAAAUUGAGAGAGAGCGGCACUCGGGCAGAUUUAUCGGGCCAUUGGCUAGCCUUAGGAAUUCUCUUGUAACGCGGCACUCCUGCGAAAAGGGAUGAGGGAAUUAGUGUAAAACACACCCUCCACUCCUCUUCCACCGUUUUAAGAUGUUGUAUUACUUUCAUAUAUUCCCCUGAACGGGUGGAAGACGGACGUUCUUUGAUAGCUAUGAAUAUUCAUGAAGAGCCGCCGGGGAAAAUUGCUGUUUUUUAGCUAACGUGUCGCAGAAUUAUUAAGACGUUCAGAUGAAUUAAAACUGGUUUGGCGUUAGCUCGUUAGCUAAGCACAUCGUUUCGUCAUGAAACGGAGACUUUGUUUUCUGAAUAUUUCUUGAUGACGGUAGUUAAUCAGAGCGAUGAAUGGAAGAUGGAUGAGUGCUAGCGUCUUUUGAUGGGCAUGAAUAUUCAAGAGAGGCUGGUGAAGGAAGAUUGCUCUACUGUAUGCCGGCUGUUGAGUCACAGUCACAAAGAUGGAUGAGAGAGAAAAGAGCUGCGCCUGGCUUGCGUUCUAGCUUGGUGUUAAGAGAGAAAAAAAUAACAAAGGUUGAUAGAAAAAAAAUAGAGAAGUUGUAUAUCUCGAAGAUUCAUCAGAAGUGACGCGUUACAUGUACUCUUGUGACAUUUACUUGAGCAACUUUUUGAAGAAAAUAUACUUCUAAAAGCAGAGGCGUAGCAAGGGUCUACGGGGGCCCCAGGCAACAAGCAACAUUGGGCCCUUCGAGCGUGUGCAGGUAAGGGGGACAGUUGGAGCAUGCUGCAAUGCUGUUAGCAAACGCUAACAAGCUAGUUACAACCAGUGUUGGGCACGUUACUUAAAAAAAGUAAUUAGUUACAUUACUCACUACUUCUUCUAAAAAGUAACUGAGCACUUUACACUAACUCAUAUGGAUGUACUUACAUUGGUUCAUGGACGCACACAUUUUAACUAACAGAAUAGGCAGCGCUUGUGACGUAGGACAAUAACAGGACUGUUUGCUAUGGGAACGUACGCAUACCCAAAGAACCUUGCUAAAAGGAAUAUUAAAAUUGCGAAUAAAAUCGUUUCGGAUUAUUUUAGAUAAUAUAUGUUAUAUUUUUCUUAUAGAGUAUUCGACGAGGAAUACGAUAGACCCAUCCAUAGACUUUUUGGGGGAAAUCCCUAUUUCUUUAAGUAGUCACAUGAAUAAUGAGGUGGCCUGUGAAAAUCAAUGUAGAAAAACUCGCCAAGGACUUUCCAGAGAAUAGUUGGUGAGUCACUCUUUAAACAAUCAUGUGGUAUUCAUAUCUGAUUGCACUUUCUUAAACAUGUAUAAUCUACGUGACAUGGUUAGUGCUGAUUGGGAUUGAUAACAGAAUCGUUAGAUAAUCUGCCAAAUGAUUCCAUGGUAUUGAAACACUCCCUACACUUGUCGCUGUGACAGUACAGUAAAGCUGUGUGUGCUAAAUCUGUUGGCCCUCUGGGGGCCCCCUGCUAGCUGCUUAUAUUAAAACCCCUCUUAAUUUUUUCGUUUUAAUAAAAUUAGUAAAAUUUUCAAUCAAAAAAUAAACUAGUAGCCCGUCAUUGUUGAUGUCAAUAAUUACACAAUGCUCAUGGGUGCUUAAGCCCAUAAAAUCAGUCGCACCCAUGUGCCAGUAGAGGGCAUCAAAACUCCGUUUAAAGGGGAACUGAAGACCUUUCCGGAUUUUGGUGUAAUUUUAUGAAUAUAAACUUGGGACAAGUUCGUCAAAACAACCAUGACUGUAUCAACACGUAAUUGUAAGGAUAAUUUGCGUUUUUUUAGUUUUUUUGCACUCCGUUAAUGGUCCCUUCGCAAACCCGGAAGUGUGACGUAGGCAACAGAAGACUACUCACAGCUAACAUAGCAGCAACAACGAUGUCAGUGAUAUUUCCACCAAAGGUAACCAUUCAGGAUCGCUCUUUCGUGACGCUACCGAUGGCAAAGGCUCCCAGGAAAGAUGAACUACAAUUAAUCCCUGCAUGUUUGAACCUGAGGCGUCAGAUGACGGCGAUUUACUUGACACAGCAGAUGGCGUCAUGACGCCAAUUGACAGCUCGACACUUCACGAACGGGAGAGUGAGUGGUGUUGCUGUAAACCGUCAAGUAAUUACCCUUCCAAGAGUAUGCCUGUGUCAUCAGGAGAUCCCAGACGUGAGAGCCAAACUUGCGGAGGCUGAAGCACUGACAGGGGCAUGAAUUUCAUUUAAAAAAUAAAACCAUAAGUUGUUAACAACAUUGACACAUUUUGUUGACUGUUUAAUGUAUUCUAUUGGUAUAUAAUAUAUUGUAAUUAUAUUACAUUCUGAAAAAAAAUUCAAUAGGCCGCAAUAAUAAAUGAUACCAGGUUUAUGUUGAAUCAGCAUUAGCUUUCGUUGUCAGAUUGUGACACAACAUGUUAUACCAAGCACACAACGGCACACAUCAAAGAGCAUAAUUUUAGUAAGCAACACAAAGUUAGGAUAGCAACGGACUAGCGCAACAUUGAAAAAUGAUAAUGGCAGUGGGAAAUAUGUAUUUACUCUUUUCUGUAGCAUGAAGUGUUCUCUAUACAAAGAUAAUGCAUUAUCAUUAAAAUAUGAAGGUAAUUUGAUUUUUCUUUUAAAAAAUGUGUACUGUAUAUAUGACUAGUUUAUGAUUUCAUAUCAUCAAAAUUUGCUACAUUUAUUUCUCCUAAAUCAUCGUCAUCUGAUGUCGCAGACGGAAGAAAUUCAGCAUCUGGCAGGCCUCAUAGGAUCUCUUCAGUCGUCAUCGCUGGACACCGCAUCACUUCGGUCAUCAUAUGACUCGACCCACUCUCUCUUGAUUUUGGGAAACUGGGUGGCAACUGACUUGCAACGCUUUUUUCAUCGUGUUGAGGGUUUCCGCCACUUAAUUUUUUAUGUUUGGCUUCCUGGAGGAAAAAAAAAAAUCACAGCAGCAUGAAAAUAUUGGAUGAAUCCCAAUUUUAAUUUAAUAAUAAUUUCUUGGUGAUCAAAUAAUAAUGCCCCAGUCAUAGCAGCAUCUAUUUCUAUUUGAUGCUAUUGUUCCCUCUUCAAAUAGGCAGACCUUGAUGUUGAAAUAUAAAAAACAACGAGCCAAGGACCUAUUUGGUGCUGGGGACAUUUGAAUUUACAUAACACCUAUUGAUAUAGUAAUAAAAUCACAUGAGUAGACGACAUGUCAGCCAACCUAUCUACUUAUGACAGGCCAACAGCAAAAAAAAAAAAAAAAAAAAUGUCGCACUUCAACAAACUGGCUGUAGGAGUCCCCCUCGUUUAUAAAAAAAAAAAGCCAUUAAUGUUCUACUUACGUCUUUGGAAAACCAAAGUUGCAUUGUUGUAGGUUUUCAAAGCUGUCGUGGCUGAAAUGAUGAAAACAAUGAGCCGAUUGGGGACCUGUAUGCAUGCUAACAAAAACGGUCCAAACCUUUGCAGAAGUUUUUUUUUGGACCACUCCGAGAGUCUCGAGUCUUCCUGUGAGUAAUUCAUAUCGCUACACAUCGAGAUGGCAUGACGAAUCCCGCGAGUAAAACCCAGAAAAUGUUUGCAAUAUAUGGCGAGGAUAGCGUGGUGCUAUAUUUCCGUGUUCAGAGUGGUAGCGAGGCUUCCUGGAAGUUACGUCACGAGGUAGGGGUCGGCAGGACGGCGCGUCCCUCGUUGCUAUGGUGUUGCUAUGGCCAUAACUCAAAAACUACGCGGUCAAUUAUUAUUUUUUUUUUUUUUUAUGUGACUUUCUGAGAGAGCGAAUGACGCAUUUAAAACAAUUCAACUGAGUAAAACACUUAAGCGCGAAAUCUGAAAAGCUCUUCAGUUCCCCUUUAACACAAGUAACAAGUUGGCAUUGCACUGUGCUGUCAUUUUAUUCUGUUUGAGCGAGGCAUGUGCAUUAAUUGCGUGAAAUAUUUAACGUGAUUAAUUCGAAAAAUUU
Long non-coding RNA from Corythoichthys intestinalis (scribbled pipefish), 6126 nucleotides. RefSeq lists it as uncharacterized. NCBI's taxonomy places the organism in Eukaryota, Metazoa, Chordata, Actinopteri, Syngnathiformes, Syngnathidae. The record is from RefSeq and is a predicted model, not a curated record. The transcript has 4 exons.